UGCUGCAGUGAGUCUCCUUCAUGAGGUCUCUCCUUGGGGACUGAGAGAGAAUUCAGGUUCACAUACGUGAGUGUGACAAGGAGCCUCUUUGGAGUUUUCUCCUUUCCUACAACUAAUUUUGUUAUAAAACAGACGUCCCUAUUGAGAAGCAUGUCAACUUCUGGAUCAGGUCCAGAGAGUGUCCCAGGAGAGAGCCAGGGCCAUAAGGAGCUGCACAGGCCUGCCCCAAUUCACCAUCACCCUCCCUGAAUUUGACGUAAGUAGCCUUUGACCCCAGCUUACUGACUUUAGGAGUAGGUGGGCUAGCUCUGACUGACUGUAGGAUCUGCUGCUGCAGAGACUGUGGGUUAGGAGUGUUCCCCUUGGGGAGGCAGAGUCUGAGCAGGGAACAAGAUAAGCAGGAAAAGAAGAAUUUUACUCAAGCCUGGGCCUUUAAGAGGACCAUGCUCCAGCCAGGUUUUUGCCUGGCCUUGGGUCCUUUCUUAUCAUCCUGGAGCAGCUGGGGGAACAAGUCGUCAUAGAAGGCCCUGCCCACAUCCCUUUACUCCAGGCUUCCUUGGGGGCAGAGAGAACUAAGUGAUUGCUAGCGAGGGAGUCCAGAGACAUGGGAGAGUUGAUACCCAGUGACAUAACUACUAGGUAGCCCCACAGAUAAGCACAGCCCGCAUCACAAUUUGGCAGAGAAAGCAAAUAACAUCCCAGACUUGCUGUGAGGCCUAAAAAAGGGGGAAAAGGAUAGAGAUGGUAGAAGUAUUGAAGUGGCUACUGGACAGCCUCCAACAACAGGCGGCCUAACUGCAGAAACAACAGUACCAACUGUUCCAACAAAUGGCUGCCCAGGAGCAACAACAGGGGACACAACAACAGCAGCAGCUUAUUUAGGAGUUGACAGUGUAGCGAGGAGAACAGCAACAACACCUCAUCCAACAAAUAGUGACCCUCUGUGACAGGGUGUAGUUACCCCACACUGAAUAGGGAAGGGUUAACCCUGCAUAUUAAGCCAAGGAACCCACGCUCCCUCGCUCCUGCUGGGUGUGCUCCAACUGGAAUACUAGUAUAAAAAGCUCAGUCAGGGCUUAUUGCCGAAGAGGGAGGACGCACAUCACUGGCUCCAGCCCAGGAGCUGCUGAAGUCCCAGAUUGUGGAAGCCAGGCCUGCCAAGACCCAGGCAGAUACCUGGCUACCUGAUGUUGCCCAAGGAAGGUCAGAGCCAUGGAGAGCUGCCCAGGCCAAGGAACCUGGAGACCCCAGAAAUGCCUGCACUGCCGCAUCAGGAGACAGGGUAGGAAGUAGUCCAACGGGACUGUAUGUUGAUACUGUUAUAGAACCGAAGGUUAAGUCAGUGAGUUUUGGUAGGAUCCCUGCUGACCCAGAGAUGAGUGUACUUGUAGCUAACAGGGCUAUGGGCUGGGACCCAUUGGCGUAGGAAGGGCCUGGGUCCUCUACCCCAGCCAUCAUACCCCUGGGUGGUGUCCAUCCUCCUACAGCCAUUAAACCACAUCUAUACUGACUCUGGCCAUUGGGCCAGGCUGCACUGAGGUAAAGGACAGUCAGAUGGACUUAAUUAUGGGGCUGCAAAGCCUUUGUCCCUCCCAAGAGGGGGGCAGGAUGUACUCGCCUUGUAAUACCCUCUUACAACUUCAGGGGUCAAAUGUAAACCCUACAGCAAGACCUUCAAACAUCACUCCAGCUAGAAGCAUUCUGAUAAAACUCGCAAAGAAGAGGAGUGAAGAUGACCCAGAAGCCAUCGUCAUCACCUUUGAUGAGGAUGCCAUGGCAGCACAAUGGCCACCCAAACACUGUGCUGUUUUAUUGGCAGGGCCGUAACCAGGGCAGUGCGAGCGGGGCAGCAGUCCAGGGCACAGACUCAGGAGGUGGGUGCAGAAAAAUAGAAAAAAUAUCAUAGGGACUAGAGCCCUGCAACAGGAUGGGGAUCCCGAGGGUCCCACAGGAUCCAUUGCCAUAAUAGCAGGAGCUGGAUUAAAACUCAACAAACAAUGUGGAAGUAGGUGGGAGUGGAAAUUGGAGUGAGCAUUGUGGGGUGGGAUGGGAAGAAUAUUAAAAAAAUAGACCUCUUGUGAAGCAAGCAACAUGAACCUCCCAUCCAGCACCCACCACUCUCCAGCUGCCCGGCCCUGAAGGCAGUGCCACCAGCAGCAGCAGUGCAGAAGUAAGGGUGGCAAUACCAUGGCAUGCCAACCUUCUGUGCUGCUACUUGUGGCAGUGCUGCCUUCAGAGCUGGAGGCCAGGCCAGUGACCUCUGCUUUCCGGUCACCCAGCACUGAAGGCAGUACCACCACCACCAGCAGUGCAGAAGUAAGAGCGGCUGGCAAGGCAGUGAGCGGAACAAGUGGCUGAUGAGGUGGUGAGGAGCCGCAGCUGGCAGGGUGGCCAGGCAGAGCAAGUGCUCAGAUCACAGAGCAUGCAAGAUGCCUUCUUCCUCAGGUGCAAGAUGAACUCACAUACCACUCGGAAACCUGUCACGUAGAUGCACCUCUGAACCCUGGGCCCUCACUGACCAAGGACAACCACUAUCCAUCAAGACUGAGAGCUUAAAUUGAAUUCAGGAGUUCCAAACCAAAUCUCCAGAGGAGAGGGCAUAAAUCACAAGGCACUGAUCUUAUUUGGUUGGGUAGCAGGGAUGGCUGGAAUGUACUGUGGUCAAGAUAGCUAAGACAUGUCUGUGUCAAGCCUCUCCUCCGCCAAAAUGAGGCUACUCUACAGCAGAAAUGUACAUAUUCUGGGCAGCGGAGUCAACAUAGUGUCUUGUUGCACUUUCUGCAGUACCCUGAUUUGUGGAAGGCUCAGAAAAUUCAAGGGUGAAGCAAUGAUUACAUCCGUAUUGUUUUCAACCAUUAUAUACACAGCAUACUUCUUUUUUGAACACCAAAGCAGAACUGAAGUUUGUUUGUGGUGUAUUGCUUCAUUAAGGAUCUAUGGAUGAAAAUCCUGGCUCAGGAAAUAAUGGGGAUAAGCCACCACAAUGCAGGGGGUACUCCAAAGCCUUUAGGCACCACUACUUAAGUCCCUAAAAACCCUGUGUUAAGGACUCAUUUGGGAUGUUAGUGGUUUACAGGUAGUUUUAAGCGUCCUUUACGCUGGGAUGAAUUUCAGUUUAUGGAAUUAGAACAGAUUUUCCAAAAGCGACUGGAGAUUUUGGGUGUCCACAUUUUGGGUGCCCAAUCUGAGACACGAGAAAAGAGCCUGACUUGUAGAAAAUGCAAAGUACCCUCCAUGUGAAAAAGAGAUCCUGGUAAGGUUUCCCAAAUUGGGCACUCAAAAGUUGAGGCACCCCAAAAAAUCACUAGUUAUUUUUUAAUUCUUUGGCCUGCGUGGACACAUAUGGUAUAUGUGUUAUCAAUUAGAUCAUUGCUUGGACAUCGUAAAGGCAGAUGGACUUGAACCAACAAUGAAACUGAAACAGACAACGACCCUGUUUGUUUUGGGAUUUUUAGUUAGUUAAGCAUUAUU
Mauremys mutica (yellowpond turtle) is the source of this 3471-nucleotide long non-coding RNA. RefSeq lists it as uncharacterized. NCBI's taxonomy places the organism in Eukaryota, Metazoa, Chordata, Testudines, Geoemydidae. The transcript is spliced from 4 exons. The record is from RefSeq and is a predicted model, not a curated record.